RNAcentral lists this ribosomal RNA (382 nucleotides) under uncultured bacterium. RNAcentral's name for it is "bacterial SSU rRNA". It matches the Rfam family "Bacterial small subunit ribosomal RNA", at positions 28 to 409 of the family's 1533-position model. The record is from RNAcentral.
GACGAACGCUGGCGGCGUGCUUAACACAUGCAAGUCGAGCGGUAAGGCCCUUUCGGGGUACGACGAGCGGCGAACGGGUGAGUAACACGUGGGUGACCUGCCCUCAGCUCUGGGAGUAAGCCUGGGAAACCGGGUCUAAUACUGGAUAUGACUCCAUGACGCAUGUUGUGGGGUGGAAAGCCUUGUGCGGCUGAGGAUGGGCCCGCGGCCUAUCAGCUUGUUGGUGGGGUGGAUGGCCUACCAAGGCGACGACGGGUAGCCGGCCUGAGAGGGCGACCGGCCACACUGGGACUGAGACACGGCCCAGACUCCUACGGGAGGCAGCAGUGGGGAAUCUUGCGCAAUGGGCGAAAGCCUGACGCAGCGACGCCGCGUGAGGGAU